This is a non-coding RNA of Pelobates cultripes (western spadefoot toad), 226 nucleotides long. The record is from the annotation of a GenBank genome assembly. NCBI's taxonomy places the organism in Eukaryota, Metazoa, Chordata, Amphibia, Anura, Pelobatidae.
GUGAAACAGUCAAGGGGGGUGAGGGAGCGGGUGUUGCUAGGGAUGGGGUACUCGAGGUGGAGAGGGAAUGAGAGGAGGAGAAAACUCUGGUGGGUAAGGCGGGAGUAGUCAGGACGGGAUCUUGGCGAGGAUUUGGAGUAGGAGCAGGCACUGGGAGAGGUAGCGGAGGACAUGGAGGUGGGGGAACUUCAACAGACGUAACGGGAGAAUGGUUAAUAGAGGGCGC